Molecule: non-coding RNA, 110 nt
Organism: Acanthosepion pharaonis
Lineage: Eukaryota; Metazoa; Mollusca; Cephalopoda; Sepiida; Sepiidae
Source: the annotation of a GenBank genome assembly
AGCCAUAUCAAGUUGAAACACUCGUUCCCGUACUAUCACCGAAGUUAAGCAACGUCGAGCUUGGUUAGAACUUAAAUGGGUGACUGCUUCGGAAUGCCACGUGCUGUAAG